RNAcentral lists this unclassified non-coding RNA (209 nucleotides) under uncultured Ascomycota. Its description in RNAcentral is "sequence contains ITS1". Lineage: Eukaryota; Fungi; Ascomycota. The record is from RNAcentral.
CAGUGUCUUGGAGGCCGACCCUCUGGUGCAUCCUCCACGGGAGCAUCGGGGCUCGUGCCCCCUCCACACGUGUUUACUACACUCUGUUGCCUUGGUGGGUCUGCCCUUGUGGCUGCCGGGGUCGCCGCCUGCGUCCCGGGCCCGUACCCGCCAAUGGACAUCCUGAACUCUUUGAAUAUAGUGUUGUCUGAGCGUAUAGCGAAUUAAAC